CCCUGCUUUUCUCAGUCUGGAAUCUACGUAGCAUUGUACACAACUUGGUCUCUUGGCAGAUUAUCUGAUGGACCUGGGAGAGUUGGUCUGUAUCGGAAUGCUGGAAGGGUUGCAGGCAAUGUACAGGGAAACCUUAACAAACCUGUGAUAAUAGCUUUAUCCAGCUCAACACAUUUUCAAGCUGGGCAUUCUUCAAAAUUGCUGUAUUGAGCAGAGCCAGGGAUUUCAGGUGGUCCUGUAUGUUACAUAGCAAUCCAGGGCUUUUCGGGCAUGAACCAGCAAAUGUAUGGAGCAUGUACGUUACGAUUUCCAAUAUGGAUCGUGGAGGAAAAGUUUAGUUGGAUGACACAAUGAAAAUGGU
This is a non-coding RNA of Pelobates cultripes (western spadefoot toad), 361 nucleotides long. Lineage: Eukaryota; Metazoa; Chordata; Amphibia; Anura; Pelobatidae. The record is from the annotation of a GenBank genome assembly.